RNAcentral lists this ribosomal RNA (2506 nucleotides) under Triticum aestivum (bread wheat). RNAcentral describes it as "partial small subunit ribosomal RNA". The record is from RNAcentral. Lineage: Eukaryota; Viridiplantae; Streptophyta; Magnoliopsida; Poales; Poaceae.
GCGAGAGAUUGGCCGCCCACUCCGAGGGGUAAAACUGGAACGGGGGCAAAAUCUUACCCCUCGCUCCGAGCUCAUCGCCUGCACCUGCACGGCGCCACGGCUAGACAAGCCUGUGCAAUCGGGCGCCCGAUUCGCCGGCCACGAUGCACAGCUCGCUCGCUCGGCAGGUGGGCCCGCCGAUCCGGCCUGGCUGCGCGGACCAGGCCCGCCGCGAUCGAUCCGGUUCGGUCCGGUGCCACGCCGAGGCCGCGCCGCCGGUGUCCGUCGCUAGGACGGGGCCGUACACCGGGAGGGACCCGGAGGUGAAGAAGCCGGCGUGGCUGAGGCAGAGGGCGGCGCAAGGGGAGAAGUACGCGCGGAUGCGGGAGUCGCUCGGCGAGCUCAAGCUCAACACCGUCUGCGUCGAGGCCCAGUGCCCCAACAUCGGCGAGUGCUGGAACGGAGGGGGAGGGGCCGGCGGGGAAGGGGACGGUAUUGCCACGGCGACCAUUAUGGUGCUCGGCGAUACUUGCACGCGCGGUUGUCGAUUCUGCGCCGUGAAGACCAGCAACAAGCCUCCGCCGCCGGAUCCCAUGGAACCUCUGAACACGGCCUUGGCCGUUGCAAGUUGGGGAGUAGACUAUGUUGUGCUGACAAGUGUUGAUAGAGAUGACUUACCUGAUGGGGGAAGUGGCCAUUUUGCUCAGACAGUGAGAGCUUUGAAGGAGCUCAAACCUGGGAUAUUGGUGGAAUGCUUAACCUCGGAUUUUCGAGGUGAUCUGGAGGCUGUUUCCUCUUUGGCCGAUUCUAAUCUAGAUGUCUUUGCGCACAACAUUGAAACUGUGAGGAGUCUGCAGAGAAUUGUGAGGGAUCCUCGAGCAGGAUAUGAGCAGAGCUUAGCUGUUCUAAAGCAUGCAAAAAUUUGCAAAGAGGGGAUGAUAACCAAGUCUUCUAUCAUGCUUGGUCUUGGGGAAACUGACGAGGAGGUGAAACAAGCCAUGAUUGAUUUAAGGGCAGUUGGUGUUGAUAUUCUCACAUUGGGCCAAUAUUUGCAGCCAACAGAAAAACAUUUGACGGUUAGGGAGUAUGUGACGCCUGAGAAGUUCCAGUUUUGGAAGGAGUAUGGUGAAUCGUUGGGUUUUUGUUAUGUUGCUAGUGGACCUCUGGUCCGGUCUUCGUACCGUGCAGGAGAGCUCUUUGUCGAGAAUUUGGUCAGAAAUAAGAAGUCUAAGCCUGCAUCGGCCUCCUCUUAAGUCUCAACCAAGAUAUGUCGACCUACAAAAGCAAUCCAUCGGAUUCUUCCACUUUGUAUGUUCAGAGCAGCACCAGAAAAGCGGGGGUGGCACAAUCAUUCUAUUAUUCUGAAAGUUUGUCCCCUGCUUUUCUUUUUUGAAUAUGCACACACACUUUUGAUAUUUAUCACUGUAGAUGCCCGGAUGCCAUUUUUGUUGUUGUAUCAUUACCUUUGAAAGAAUAUAGGAAAAGCUAUUCAUGAGUAGUCCACAGCUGUCCCUCUGUCGUUUGAUUAUGCGAUGCUUUAUGCAUCACUUAGGAGAACGCAUCCAGCACUUUCAUGUCUUAGGUACUUCCGGUGCACCUGUAUGUUUUGGCCUAUUUAAAAGUUAAACAUUUUUUUGGAGAUAAAAUCACAACACUGACACUACAUAUAUCUAUUAUGCUAUAAAAUUAUAGAAUCAAAAUCUAUAUGUAGCUUGAGGAACAAAAACACUUAAUAGUGUUAAAUUGGCCGAAUUCAUAGUUCAAUUUGAACUAGUUGCUAUUCAUAGCUAGAUUUGUCUCUCUUUUUUCUAGUUUUCUGAGUGAUGUUUUGAAUUUGGAUUUGAAAUUUUGUGACACAGGUGAUAUACUAUCCUGUCUUUGUUCCUAGAAUUUUCCAUGACUCUUAUUGUGAAGUUCUCAUAAUCAUAUACGGGGGUGCUGGAAUUUUGGUCACUCUUAUUGUGAAGUUCUCUGAUAUAGGAGUGCCGGAAAUACUCCAAACUCGAGAGCACGUGAUAGGUUGAUAUGGAAUGUGUUUUAGGCUUGCUUUAUCUUUACUGUUCCUUUUGUUUUAGUUUGUGUAAUAAUUUUGUUGCGGUUUCUUUAAUGGAAAUGGACGAGGCUUGUUGUUUUAAAGAAAAGGUUCUUAAUAGUCCUCUGGUAGAGCACGUGAUACAUUGUUAACAAACUUUUUUUGCAGAACAUUUUUUAGAAUCUACCACAAAAUUUACAAUAUGUACAGAUCAACCAAAAACGAAUUAUAUUGUACGCGAAGCUUGUUGAAGCAUGAUAGCACAAUGGUAGGCUGACUGACUCCACAGAUUUAAGUCCACCGAAAGAUAAAAGAUGGUCACAUCAGAAGCUUCGUAAUGACCUAGUUGAGCAUACGUGGAAGUGGUUUUCUUUUUUAUGUUUCAAUCAUAUGUCUUCAUGUUUUAUUUGGAUUAUUUUAUGUGUUUCUUGUGCAGAUUUCAUUCAUAUUUGAAAUUUUUGAAAAUUAUGACUUUGAAAUAUUGUUGAAUUGUGC